Non-coding RNA from Pelobates cultripes (western spadefoot toad), 1229 nucleotides. NCBI's taxonomy places the organism in Eukaryota, Metazoa, Chordata, Amphibia, Anura, Pelobatidae. The record is from the annotation of a GenBank genome assembly.
CUUUGCAUUUCAAGCUAAGCCGCACCAUGCUGACAAUUGUAAUGCGUUGUUCCUAAUCUAUUAGUGCUCGAUUUAUACAUUGGUUACAUAACCGUGAUUAGUCAUUAGUUGACAUUGUUAAGCAGGCACAAAUGUAAGUUUUAUCACCAUUUAUUUAUAAUUUUACAUACAUUACCUUUUUAUUUAGGGUAUCAGUAGUUAACAUUUCAUCUGCCAAUAUUCUGAUGUAGAAUUCCGUACAAAAAAAUCUCACUUUAGAGGGCUUCUAUGUAAGAGAUUUAUAUGGCAGACAAUCUGGUUCAGAUAAUCUGAAUUGUUGAUAUAAUCAAAAACUGUCUAUGAAGAUCUGUGUAUAGCAUGGUCCCUCAAAAGGUCAAGAGAAGUUCAGGCUUUUUACAUUGUUGAAGCUAUCUAAUAUCUAUAACAGACAAACUCGAAAGCAUAUAUUUUUUUUAUUUUUCCCCACACCUUGUAAUGUUAAGAAUAUCCAUAGCAAGGCAUGGGUAGAAAGAUGGCUUUGUGUACAGUGAAAAUAGCGAACUGUACCCAACAGUUUACUACCCUCAGGUACAUGUAGUCAGCACUGAUAACAGACUUCACACUCUAUGUUCUUUAGAAUAUAACAGAAUUAUUUCUUCAAAAGAAAAUCAAUAAUAUUUACAAUUUCAUUUCUAUCACAUUUAUAUAGUAAAUGAAAACUCCAAGCCCAUUCACCACUACAGCUCUCUGUAGUGGUCGUGGUGUUAGGAGUGCCAUGACAUGCCUCUUCCUAUUGUAAGUAGUCAAACUGUUUUUGAUUGAAAUCAUUAUAUUAUUUGAUCUUAUGUUCACUUAAUAAAACGGUUAAAUAAUUUCUGGAUUUAACCACAAAGAUUAAAGAGACAAUCUAAGCAUGGGAGCAAUAAAGGUCAAUGUUUUCAAGCUGUUUGACAGAAAAAUGAAACAAUGCAGCCACUAAGGCAGACUUAGACGGCAAUGAUAGGCUAACCUGUCUAGCAGACUCAAAUAGCAAAUGGUUUCACAGAAAACCAGGGGAUAGAACAAAGACUCCGUGCACCAUAACAAUAACUAGCGAUAUGGGAUUUAGUGCAUAGAGUGUCUCUUUAAUAUCCAGCCGUCCAAAAUGCUAAGUCAAAAUACCAGUCUGCAAAUAAGUUUGAAGAUAGGCAGUAGGUAAGAUAAUGAAUGGUAUUCCAGUAUUCUUCUUUUAGGUUUUUUUUGUUUUUUUU